RNAcentral lists this long non-coding RNA (3813 nucleotides) under Nicotiana tabacum (common tobacco). RNAcentral describes it as "long non-coding RNA (NTAB_LNC014033)". Lineage: Eukaryota; Viridiplantae; Streptophyta; Magnoliopsida; Solanales; Solanaceae. The record is from RNAcentral.
AUAAAUAAGUCUUUAUGCUUAUGUGUGAUCGUUUUUUGAAUUCUCAAAGCUCAAUAGACUUUUUCGGGUUUCCCGAAAGGGAAAUCUCUCUCCUAUAAGCAUGUAAGUUACUCAUCUUUAUCUAAAUUAUGUUUCUGCUAGAUAUUACCCCUGUUUAUUUUAAAAAAAUUUGUUAUUCUGUAUAGUUUUAUGUUUCAUGUUCAUAUGUUCAAUUAUUAGAUAUCACUCUUGGUAUAUGGUUAGCUUCCCAAUCUUAACAAUUAUGAUGGAUUAACCUUUAAAUUCCUAGGAGAAUCUGGUUAAGUAAAACCCAAAAACAAUUAAGAAGGGUAUAAAUGUUUAACCAUGGCCGGGAUGAGGUUAAAGAAAUAAGAGUUAAGAAAAGUGUUAAAAUCUUUAACAGAUUGGGAAGAAGAGAUGAACAGAGUGGAUUAAAAAAAGUAGUAAAGUUCAUAAUUUAGAUAAUAUGGUAACUAUACAAGUCUAGAGAAUAAGAGAGUACCGAGUAAGAUUUUCACAACAUAAGAGUUUAAUCACAAAAAAUAAUUUUAUUGUUAAUGUCCAAUAAUUGUAAUAACUAUACAAAUCCAGAAAGUUUUGCUAGGAGCCUUACUCAAAGUUUGGAAGAAUUUAUAUUAGACAUAGAAACCGGAUUUUAUUCAAUAAUAGAUUUGGCCGUACAUUUUAUAUAUCUACAAUACAAUAGUAAUAUUUGUUCGAAUAUAUAUAGAAAACAACUGCAUUUGAUAUUGUUAAUAUUAUCAUACCAUCAAUCAUAUCAUCUAUACCAUCUAAAAAAACAAUUUUAAUUUUUUUAACCCUAACUUUUUAGACAACUUUAACUGACUUUAACUUUUUAACUCCUUUCAUGUCGUUUCAUUUAAACGCAUUUCAGUCCGGAACAAAAAUCCAUCCAUGAUUUCGGAAUCCUUACUCAUACGUCCUCCUUCGCAUUAAUGCAGCAAUGUGAUGAAAUUUCUUGUGUACUUUCAUGACACAUGACUCAAAUGUCGAUGUAAUGCAUACCUAUUACCUAUAUUGGGAAAUCUUACUUAUUAUUGUACCUUGAAUAUCCUUCCAACCAAGGACCCGUUUGGUCAUGAAUUUUGUCAAAACAAAUUUGGAAUUUAUUUGGCAAAUUUAUAUUUAGCCAUAAAUUUUGUCCACAUUUUGGCAAAAUCACAAAUCCCAAAAUCACUCCAAUUGCUGAUUUUGGGCCAAAAUUCCAAAACUUGGGAAUUAUAUACAUAUUUUUUCAAAAUAAAGUUGGGAAAUAUAUUUUGAAAACGUAUGUCCAAACACAUUUUCAUCUUCAAACUAAACUUCACCCAAAUUAGAUUUUUUAAAACAAAUUUGGGAAUCUAUGGCCAAACGCUAGCUAAGAAAGGAGAAUAAGAAAUCAAUAGCUUUUGCACAUAUCCAUCACUUAAAGUAUAGGGGAAGUGCACAGUUAGUUACUAAUUAGAGAUGUCAUUGCUCUUUAGCCAUCGUUUAAAAUGUAUUUACUCUUUAGUCAGUGCCUAAUAAAUUUUUGUCCGCCCGGACGAAAAUAUCCUUGUGCUAGACUUGGGUGUUGUGUAAAUAUUAAGGACAUGGUGUCCUUAACUUCAUGAAUGAUGUGUAAAUAUUAAGGACAAAAUGUCAUAUUAUGUCCUUAACUUCAUGUGUGUGGUGUAAAUGUUAAGGACAUAAUGUCUUUAACUUGUAUUUGCACCUUUUGUUGGUAAAUUUUAGGACCUCAUAUCCUUAACUUUAUAUAUGCAGUGUAAAUGUUAGCGACAAAGUUAGGGAUGACAAAUGGGACGAUGCGGGUACAUGGCUGUGCGAGUUUAUGACUAUGCGGGAUAGGGCGGGUUUAAAGCUAUGUGGGGCGGGCGGGUACGGGGUGGGUUGAAAUAUUUUUUAUAAAAACUGAUGCGGGGCGGGUUGCGGAUCUAUAUGGGUUUAUGCGGGCGUAAGAAUUUUUCUUCUUAUUUUGAGUUCCAUGUGACCACCAUGUGACCUAUAAAACUUGCUUCUAGACAAAUUGCUAAUCCACUUUGGAAAAAGAAAAUAUAAACAAUUUGUUUAUUAUAUUAAUAAUAAUUUUAUGAUAUAGUUCAUUAAAGAUAAUACGUUAAUACUACUUAACGAUAUUUUAAUAAUCUGAAAAUAAUAUUUUCACAAAAACUAAAAAAUAAUAGUACAAUAACACUAUUUUACAAUGAUUACACGCUAUGUCAUCAUACAUUGCUUCAUUUGGAUUCUUUUCAUUCCAAAUCACAAUGCUAGAAUCAAUACUGUUUUUCUUUUUUAUUGAGAUUCAGCACUUAAGAAACAAAAAUAAUUAAAUUUUUUGAUUGAUUAAGUUGAAAAUUCCAGCCAAAAUAUAAAAAGGAAUUAAGUAAACAAAAUCGGAAAAAAAAUAUUGGUGCAGGGCGGGUGGAUGCGGGUGUAUGUGGGGGCGGGUGGACGCGGGUGAAAAUACUACGCGGGGUGGGGCGGGGCGUGUUGAGAUCUUCGCGGGUUUAUGCGGGUUUCCCCCGCAACCGCACCGCACCACACCGCUUGUCAUCCCUAGAUAUAGUGUCCUUAACUUUAUGAGUGUUGUGUAAAUAUUAAAGGCAUGGUGUCCUUAACUUCAUGAAUGCUCUGUAAAUAUUAAGGACAAAGUGUCAUGUCAAGUCUUUAACUUCAUAUGUGCAGUGUAAUUGUUAAGGACAUGGUAUCCUUAACUUCAUGUGUGCAGUGUAAAUGUUAAGGACAACACGCAGCACUCGUGAAGAAAGAGUAAAAAUAUCUUUUUAUAUUAAUUUUAAUAAAGUAGUAACUAUUUUUGCUUAACAUUAAAAAUACUGAAUAAAAACUAAAUAUCAUAUCAAGAAGUGGCUAUCCCACGCUAUUUCUGCUAAAAUAAACAGACGUGUGGACUUAUCGCUUUCCAACAUUAUUAUAGUGGAUAAACAAUCUUUAUUCUAAUCGGAUUCCUCAUUCCUUCUAUGUAAUACAAAGUCAAUGGGCACAAUUAUAAUGACAAAUUAACAAUAAAAGUAUCAUUCAAAGAAUCGAAAGUUACUCCUUUUCUAUUGGCGCCAACAGAUUUAGGCAUAAGUUAUUGCCUAUAGGAUAAAAAAGAAAAUGCAACUAGUACUAACAAAAAUCCGAUAUAUUUCGCCCGUACUUGUAGGUGAGAAAUUUUUCAUUUUGUCAUUUAAUUUAAUUGCUCCCUUUUUAUUUCCUAGUGUAACGCGAAUAUGGUUUAACGUAAUAGGCAAGGCCGGGUCUAAGGUUAUCACAAGUAAGGCUUGUGUCUUACGUUCCAAAAUUUGGGGACCCCAUUUUUCAGAAAUAAUAAGUUAACAAGUUUUUUUAAAAAAGAUAAUAAUAUUUAGUACUUUUAAUAAUUAAAUUGAGUUUUCUAUAAUAGUUGCAUCAAAGAAAAUAAAUUUUUCAAAAUUAUAUUUGCUAAAAUUUAACCUAAAAUCAACAAUAUCUCAAAAAAGAUCAAAUAGGUUGGCUAUACUAUCAAUUAAAAAGAGAAUUAUUAGAGAAAAUCGAUCAUAAAAAAUUAUUAACAACUUUGCAUCUCAAAAAGCUAAAAAAGUAAUUCAAAUAAAAAUAUAUAUCAUAAUAUUCUUUUAAAAAUUUAGGCCUUAGAACUUUGCACACAAUAUUUGUCCUAUUACUUUAAUAAAAAAAAGGGCAGCCCGUUGUACUAAGCUCCCGCUAUGCACGUAUCACGACCCAAUUUUCUAACCCGGUCGUGAUGGCGCCUCUCGUGAAGACAAGGCCAGCCAACUAACCCAAAUCGUAUCUUUAACAAUUAUUAAAUAU